RNAcentral lists this ribosomal RNA (443 nucleotides) under uncultured bacterium. RNAcentral's name for it is "partial 16S ribosomal RNA". It matches the Rfam family "Bacterial small subunit ribosomal RNA", at positions 338 to 795 of the family's 1533-position model. The record is from RNAcentral.
CCUACGGGCGGCAGCAGUGGGGAAUAUUGGGCAAUGGGCGCAAGCCUGACCCAGCAACGCCGCGUGAAGGAAGAAGGCUUUCGGGUUGUAAACUUCUUUUCUGAGGGACGAAGAAAGUGACGGUACCUCAGGAAUAAGCCACGGCUAACUACGUGCCAGCAGCCGCGGUAAUACGUAGGUGGCAAGCGUUAUCCGGAUUUAUUGGGUGUAAAGGGCGUGUAGGCGGGAAAGCAAGUCAGAUGUGAAAAUUCGGGGCUCAACCCUGAGCCUGCAUUUGAAACUGUUUUUCUUGAGUGCUGGAGAGGCAGUCGGAAGUCGGGGUGUAGCGGUGAAAUGCGUAGAUAUAAGGAGGAACACCAGUGGCGAAGGCGGAUUGCUGGACAGUAACUGACGCUGAGGCGCGAAAGCGUGGGGAGCAAACAGGAUUAGAUACCCGGGUAGUC